UGGGGAAUAUUGGACAAUGGGCGAAAGCCUGAUCCAGCCAUGCCGCGUGAGUGAUGAAGGCCCUAGGGUUGUAAAGCUCUUUUGUGCGGGAAGAUAAUGACGGUACCGCAAGAAUAAGCCCCGGCUAACUUCGUGCCAGCAGCCGCGGUAAUACGAAGGGGGCUAGCGUUGCUCGGAAUCACUGGGCGUAAAGGGUGCGUAGGCGGGUUUCUAAGUCAGAGGUGAAAGCCUGGAGCUCAACUCCAGAACUGCCUUUGAUACUGGAAGUCUUGAAUUCGGGAGAGGUGAGUGGAACUGCGAGUGUAGAGGUGAAAUUCGUAGAUAUUCGCAAGAACACCAGUGGCGAAGGCGGCUCACUGGCCCGAUACUGACGCUGAGGCACGAAAGCGUGGGGAGCAAACA
Molecule: ribosomal RNA, 402 nt
Filed under: uncultured bacterium
Lineage: Bacteria
Description: bacterial SSU rRNA
Rfam family: Bacterial small subunit ribosomal RNA
Source: RNAcentral